AUGGCCCGCUCCUGCCCGCUCCUUGCCAGCACGGACACAGACAAUUCUCCACGCCCUCCAGGACAGGUAAGAUCGCCCCAACCCACACCCACCACGCUCCACAGAAAGCAGGAAGGUGACACGAGCGGGCCAGGACAGCAGCGACCGCUCCAUCAGGAUGACAGAAGACAGACGGAUGUGGUGAGAUGCUCCAAACCCUCGGGCACAGAAGCUGGGGCUGCCCGUGGUCACAGCGGGAUGCUGCUCCGUUUGUUCCUUCCCUUCUUAAAGCCAGAAACAGACGGCGAUGGGACCACACCACAGCAGACUCCUGGCCUCUCUCCCCUUCAGACCUCAGCUGGAGAAUGUGUCAAUGCUCUACAGGACAGAUCAGCGACCCCCCAACCUAUUCCCCACCAUGAUCACAAGGCCUGUGGAGUUGCUAAAACAUGGAUAAUUCUUGGCCCACAGGGAGAAACUGGAUGGACGGCACUAUUCUGGAAACACACACGGCGAUGGGAACAGACCACGGCCCAAUCCUGGCCUCUCUACCCUCAAGAACACAUCUGGAAGGAAGAGCUGCCAACGCUCUCCAGGACAGGACAACGGGACAUGGACAGCCUUGCCAGAAACACACAGGA
Molecule: long non-coding RNA, 620 nt
Filed under: Anas platyrhynchos platyrhynchos (common mallard)
Lineage: Eukaryota; Metazoa; Chordata; Aves; Anseriformes; Anatidae
Description: lncRNA (ENSAPLG00000028161.1)
Source: RNAcentral